GUGAUAUAUAAUAUGGCGAAACACAAUAUCCAUAUCAAAUUUGCCAUUGCAUGUAAAAUAUUCUUUUUUCAACAAAUUUUAUCUAGAUAAUAUUUGCUCAACACCAUAAGUCUAUGACAUCUGGGCUGAAUCAAGGAGAGUUGGCUUCAAAGUUAAAUUUCAAUUAUUUUAUUUUUGAUAAGAUCACAUAUACCAAGAUGCCAUAUCAAUAUCAGAUGAUGUUUAGAUAUUAGUAAUAAAUAUUUGCUCAACACCAAAAGCCUAUGACAUCUGGACUGAAUCAAGGAGAGUUGGCUUCAAAAAAUACCAAGUUAUCAAUUCUAAUUCUGAUUUGCCAGACAGGACAACACUAAGCCCGACUGCUAUUAAUAAUGUUUACCUAUCAAUGAAAGCACAUGUACAAUAAGAAAUUAACUCAAAGGCCAAAAUUUUGAUCAAUUACAUUCUAUAUGUGGACAGAUCAAUACAGAAGAAGAAACUAUACAACUCAUUAUAUAACCCCAAAACACACAGGUGAGACUAUUCCAAUUGAGAUUGAUAAAAUAGAAGAGGAAUUUAAUUUAAAAAAGAAAAAAUACAAAUGGUCACUGAUGCUGGGUCUAAUGUUAGAAAGGGUGUUUGAUUAGGUGAAUAUGAACACCGCUUAUGUUUGGGUCAUGGUUUACACAAUCUGGUUACAGUAGAUGGUAUUAAAAAGGUACUCUUAUUUGAAAAUCUUAUCAAAAGAAUUAUAGGAAUUAUUACUGUUCUAAUAUAUAAAACUACAAUAGUUGAAUUUGAAUUCGAAGCAGAUCAAAGAAAAUGCCUAAGUAUAAUAGAUUUAACAUCUGACAUGUUAGAUCAUGAUAGCACUGAUCCAUAUCCAGAUACCCGAUUUCAAAUUGACACUUCCAUUGAUAAUGAUAACAAUAUUUCCACGCAAAACCUUAAAAUUGAACGUCCCAACACGUUGGCAUAGUAUAUUAAUUAUGCUAGAAACCAUAUGUGGAUUAAAUAAGAAUAUAAUUAAUAAUGUUUUGAAAAGAAUUGGGAAACACUUUCUCAAAUUAUCAAACUAUUAAUCUGAUCUGAUAGAAGAACUAUUAGCAUUUCUUUUAAAAAUUAAAGAAUCUGUCGAAUUUCUAUCAGUACAAGGGCCUACGUUAAACUUGGCGUUACUUUUUAGAGGUGAAAUUGAAACACAUUUAAUAGUAAAUGACAGUGAUAAUUCUGAAAUCAUUUCACUUAAGGAAAAUAUGCUAAAAAAACUUGCCCUACGAUUUCCGGUUUGUGAUUUUCAAGUAUUGGCUUCUCCUCCUUUAGAUCUAAGAUUUCAAAAAUUGACAAUUGUGUCAUAGUAUAUUGUUGCAUUAUUCUAAUUUUAAAUUUUAUUAUUUAUUACAAUAUAAAUUUUAUUAUUUGUUAUAAUCUAAUUUUAU
This is a long non-coding RNA of Gordionus sp. m RMFG-2023, 1418 nucleotides long. RefSeq lists it as uncharacterized. The record is from RefSeq and is a predicted model, not a curated record. NCBI's taxonomy places the organism in Eukaryota, Metazoa, Nematomorpha, Gordioida, Chordodea, Parachordodidae. The transcript has 7 exons.